UACGGAGGGUGCUAGCGUUGUUCGGAAUUACUGGGCGUAAAGCGCGUGUAGGCGGCCCAUUAAGUCUGAUGUGAAAGCCCGGGGCUCACCCCCGGAAGUGCAUUGGAGACUGAUGGGCUCGAGUCCCGGAGAGGAGGGUGGAAUUCCUGGUGUAGCGGUGAAAUGCGUAGAUAUCAGGAGGAACACCGGUGGCGAAGGCGGCCCUCUGGACGGUGACUGACGCUGAGACGCGAAAGCGUGGGGAGCAAACAGG
Molecule: ribosomal RNA, 253 nt
Filed under: uncultured bacterium
Lineage: Bacteria
Description: partial 16S ribosomal RNA
Rfam family: Bacterial small subunit ribosomal RNA
Source: RNAcentral